UCUGCGUACAGGCAUCCUCUUUCCUGUUCCUGGAGCCGGAGGGCUACAUUAGUAGCAUGGCUUAGCAGGGAUUUGCGUGGUGGUUUUGAGACACUGGCUGUCGAGCUUUCGCUGUCUCCUGUCAUCAGAGUCGGGCCGUAUUCUGGCUGAAGGCUGGGAGCCGGGCGUAAUAAUUCACGCGCUGCAUUGAAUUCCUGAGUGAUUGAGCUGCAUUUUUCUGCGGCUGUCUCCCCUGUUGCCUGAAAAGCUGUGGCUACAUUGACGGGCGGCUCUACUUCCUGAAGCGGGCUACUGCUGUUCUGUCUACAGUUCAUCGCGGAGCUGUUGGGCCAGGUGGCUGGUGGCUGACUGAUUUCCCCCGGCGGUGGUGGUCCCUUCACUCCCUGUACAAUAGUGCACUUGGGUGUUUGUCAAUGAUUUUGUUUUGUUCACGUGUGGUGUGGUGCAUUAGGACCCUUCCCUUCUCCCCUCCAGUUCGUCAUCGCUGCCUGGUAAGCCCUCAGCCCUGUGCCUGGUGACUGUUUCGGUGGCACACUUAAUUAAGUCAGGGGGGGCCCUUGAGGAUUAGAUUAAUACUGUGCCACUUACUACCAAGUUAUGUCUUGGCAUCGCCAACAAGGUCUGUUUUAGAAAGAGUGUACAUUUUUAAAUAUUGUUAAUAAAUUUCAUUUUUCUAUACUUAAAGUGGAAUCGCGUCAGUCUCCGGUGCCUUUCGUACCUGUGUGACCUUUCUUGUGGUCUGUAUUGGAGUGGUGGUCCCCCCUAAAUAGAUCUCCUGGGGGUGAAACUCCCCCAGGUGGCGUUGUCGGACACGUGAUAGAUAGCAAACAUACAUCUAACCCUCGUAGCCUUGCCACAUUCUUGGCGUUGUCGGCAGGAUGACACUGUGAAGACAGAUGUGUAUUCCAUUUUUCUUAUUUUGUGUUUUUUUUUUUGUAUUUGUUAAAUUGCUGUUGAUAGCUUGCCUGUUAUGUGUGCAUGGUUUUAGAGACAGAACAGCAGUAGUUGGCGUGUAAAUUUAGUCAGUUUUAAACAUCAGGCUUCUAAAAUUUGUUUCUGGUAAGCUUUGGAGCAGCUCGCCCUCUGGUGCAAUGGAGGAGGAAAUGCAACAGCUCAGAGACCUUGUUAUGCAGCUGAAGGCAGAUAAUGAACGGCUUCGUCAGGAGAGGGAGGCCUUGCAGGCCGGCCCAAGUGCUGCCACCUCAGCCCCUUCUGCUCCAGUGAGUACUGCUGCAUUAGCAGAUACCAGCGCUACAGUAACAGAGCGGCUGGUAGUGGUACCAAGAGACCGUAGAUAUCCCAUGUUUAACGGUAAAACUGGCAUCAGUAUAACUGAAUGGGCAGAGGAAGUCCAGGCUUGUAUGCGUGCCCGUCGCUUGUCAGCUGUCGAUCAGGCCCUCUUUAUGUUUGAUCAUCUAGAGGGGGAAGCUAGAAAGGAGAUUAAGUAUCGUACCAGUGCCGAGCAAGCAGAUCCUGCUCAGAUCCUUGCUAUCCUGAACGACUUGUAUGGUGACACUCAGUCAUACGUAACCUUGCAACAAGCCUUCUUCUCUCGGAUGAAGCAGGAAGGAGAGACCUUACAGGAGUUUUCUUUGGCGCUGAUGGCCCUCAUGGAUCAGGUGAAGCGGUGUGCACCUGACGGCCUUCUGAAUGUGGCAGUUCUACUGCGUGACCAGUUUGUGGAACAUGUUCUUGACUGUGCUCUUCGUCGGGAACUGAAGCAGUUGGUCCGUCAUCGGCCUCAGUCUACUUUGCUGGAAGUGCGUGCUGAAGCAAUUCGUUGGGAGAGAGAGGGGCUUCCAAGGGGACGCUAGAGAGCGUAGCCGUUCUCUCCCAGCCAGGUAUGGUCUACAGUACGGGGUACAGAGCAAUCCCCAUUCACUGCCUCUGUCCAUGUCACAGGGCUCUGAACUGGGUGAGUUGAAGGAACUCCUGAAACGUCAACAGGAACAACUCAACCAGCUCACUCAGACGGUGGCAGCUUUGCAGGCCUCAUCCUUGCAGCCCCGCCCUAGUCGCCCUGGUCCUGUAAUCUGUCGAAGGUGUCAGCAACCAGGUCAUUUUGCCAGGGAAUGUGAUGGAGAACGGGCUCCUCCUCGUGCUCGUGCUACUUCGGCCCUUGGUCUGACCGCCAAUGUGGUCAGGCCCCCUUCUGCUUCCCGCCAGCCGGAAAACUGAAGCCCACUGAGUUGCUGAGCCACAG
Long non-coding RNA from Amphiprion ocellaris (clown anemonefish), 2203 nucleotides. Lineage: Eukaryota; Metazoa; Chordata; Actinopteri; Pomacentridae. The record is from Ensembl.